UUUGGUUCUACAUUUAGCGACCUAAUUCUGCUACCCGUAGUGACAGAAAAAUGGGCUUCGAUACUGCAGUAAAAUUGAGUAAAGGCAAUUGGUGUCUUAUUGAAAGAAGACUAAUGAAUUAAACAGUAUGGGAUCAGAAAUAGAGAAGCUUACAGAAAGAUGGGGCCUUUCAAAUGAAGGAGAGUAAAGAAAGUGAUUGGGCUAUUCCAUGAAGUGAAGAAUCAAUUGUCAUGUGUUUGGAAAUCAAGAUAUUGUACAACUAUUCCCACAAGAAGAAGAAUUUCCCUACAGUCUAUUACAGGGUGCCAUGUGGCAAUAUAAAUCCAAAGGACAAACAAGGCCUAGUUGAAAGCCACUCUCCUGCAAAUUUAGUCUACAUUGUUUGCUCACUUGUAAAAGGACUCAACCCAUUUACAUACUAAGGGGAAAACUCUGCUUGAGAAAUUAGACUUAGCUGUCAUAUCCAAUACUCUUAUUACUCAAUUAUAGUGGGUGUAAUGUACUGAAUAGGUUAAUUUGAAUAAAUUCACAAUUGUUUAGAAUUUUUUGGUUAUUUUAUUUCCUCUCUCCCUCGUAGGUUUUGAACUUUGGAUGUGACGUUAAACAUAGAAUUAACUUUAAACAGCCUUCAGUAGUGUAACUCAUUGAAAAAAUGUUUGUGUCCCAUGGGUAUACUUAAUGCUAAAAAAGUUUUUGUCCCAUGGUUUUCUGCAAUGAAAAAACUCAUUGUCCCAUGCCUGUUUGUACCGGUCCCAUCAUUGU
Long non-coding RNA from Saccostrea cuccullata (small rock oyster), 762 nucleotides. RefSeq lists it as uncharacterized. Lineage: Eukaryota; Metazoa; Mollusca; Bivalvia; Ostreida; Ostreidae. The record is from RefSeq and is a predicted model, not a curated record. The transcript has 3 exons.